Molecule: ribosomal RNA, 120 nt
Filed under: Pteropus alecto (black flying fox)
Lineage: Eukaryota; Metazoa; Chordata; Mammalia; Chiroptera; Pteropodidae
Also listed under: 1 other name
Source: RNAcentral
GUCUAUAGCCAUGCUACCCUGAACAAGAUCAUAUCCUGUCUGAUCUCGGAAGCUAAGCAGGGUCGGGCCUGGUUAGUACUUGGAUGGGAGACCACCUAGGAAGACCAGAAGCCGUAGGGG